CUCAUUGAAUGACAGUAAAAUUGUAAAUAAAAAAGGCUAACACCAUAUUUUUUUAUUAUUUUGGAUUUAAAGGGGAUGUUUAUGUAGUAACCGAAUUUUCAAAACCAAUUUUACUGUCAAACAAGAGAAUCUACAUUUAAAACAUGUUCGAUUUCCUGACGUUAAAUUGGGGAUUAACAGAAAACAACAAUCUUUUUCACCAGUUUAUUUUUAAAACAAAUAUAAAAACAUCUCGGUUAGUCUUUACAAUACAGGCACUAAGUUUUCCUUUACACUUCUUUCGAACUUCUGGUCUAUUUAAAGCAAGUUUGGGCGCAUCUAAAACUUUGUCGGAAGUUCGAAAUGGUAUAACCUUGAUUGGGGAUAUAUUAAAAACAAACUUUUAAACACCACAAAUCACUCUAUAAAGAAAACACUACAUUGACGUUACUACAUUCUUAUUAAUUUUGUUGUUGUAAUAAAAAUGAAUACAUUUAAAUACUUCAAUGACUAAAACUAAACCAUUAACGCAACAUCGAUGACAGUACGACGCGCAAGACGCGUCAAAAGGAAUUACAAAAAAAAAAAUAGUCGGCAUAUUUGAGACACGUAUAAAAACUCUCGUAUAGAUCGCGUUCUCAGCCAGUCGGAAUUUUAUAAGGGAAUGUUUAAUGCUGCAGGGCCUACUGGGUCGCGUUUAUUGUUAGAAAAAGUCGUAAACAAGUGCUUCUACAGGCCUUUUAUAAAAUGGCCCAAGGAACGAGUUAGUGUCCAUGCAGGCUUUUAAUAGGUCCAGGUAUAUAACCGCGAAAAUUUCGUCGAUUGCGGGCAUUUUUCCCCUCAAUUUAGAAAUAAAUAUCCCCGCAAUUUUUGAAUUUGGGUUUUCAUGGUAGGCCUCCUGUUUAAUAACUAGUCAAUUCAAUUGUAUUGGAAAAUGGGAUAGAUCACGGAUAGAUAGCCAGAUUUUUAUUCACAAAUAUUGCUGUUCAAAUGUAUGUCGUAGUCACGUAAAACGGAAAUAUUACGGAUUAUCUAAACUAAACAAUGUAACAUCAUAAUAUAAUAUUUAUUAUUGCUUCUACGGAAUCCCGAUUAUUACGUUUCACAGAGAUAACAUUAUUACAAUCUACGAUAUUAAUGCCAUAUUACGCUAAUGAUAACGACUGAUAAAAAUGUUAGAACAAAGUCCGUACUAUAAUCGAGUUUCAAAAUCGAAUUUUUAUUUGAAACUAGUCGAGUUGUAUUCCGUCAACCAGUACGGAGCUGUCAGUCUCAAUUGUCAAACGUCAAAGCAAAGUGUUCUUGUUGACUUGUGUUUUGUAAGAAAGAAAGAAUUUAAUUCGAGAGAUAAAUUUUGGUUGCAUAUUUUUAAUGACUGAAAUCGUAUAUACUUAUUAUAAUGUCACGUGGUUAUGAGGAUUUUUUAUGCUAUUUUACAAUUUCUAUUAAAGUGGUGGUGUCCAAAAGGGAUUACAGUGCUUUAUGGAGGUGAUAUUAAGAACAAUAAUGAGUGAGAAUAGUGUGACGGGUAUUUAACGAAACCCGAUGUAAGUGUCGAUCAAGUCUAUUAAGUGCUGUGCACGAUUUCACUAUAAUUUGUAGGUAAACAAAUGUAUGUAAAGUUAGAAGUGUAGAUGUAAAUGUUGUGUCGCAUGUUUUUACAAGUUGCAAUCAUUUUAUUAAUUCUUACUCUGUUUCGAAACAGCGGUUAUCGUUAAAAUCACGGAUAUUGCUUGGCAAUUGAAACAUUAUCAAUAUAAUUUACAGCUGUGUACCACCUAACCUUACUAUUGUUAUCUGCUAUCAUUUCAAACAAUAAUCUGAUUUCUGGCUUUUUAGAUCAUAUUUGAUUUAUUACCAAGCUUAAGAAAGUAAUGUUAUUUAAACACUUAUAUUGCAACUAAUGCCUUAUUUAAAGUUAUUGAGUAAUAUUAGACUUACCUUGUAAAAAAAGAUAACUUAAUAGCAAUUACCACAUAAACUACAAUUUCAACAUGCUUCCAGUGCUACCUUUUUAUGUAAGUUGAGUACCAAAAACCCUGGUCUUUUCGUAGGUAAAACUAGUGGAAGCAUAGUCUAACUACAACACAUUAAAUUUAUUAUAAUGGUAAUUUAGUUAAACAUUUAACCAAAAAUAUUUUGUUAUUGUUCAUGAGUACAGUGUACCUACAGAAAUUCAUUGUUGGUGAUGAAACUUUUAAUUUUUAUUAAUUUUCUCACAACACAAGCCUUUUUGAGCUUACCAUGACUCAAAAUGUGUGUGUGUUUUUUGUAAGAAUAUCCUAUAAUAUUAUUUACUGCAUCUAUUGCUAAAUCUAUACAUAUAUGUAUAAAAUUCUUAUUCUGCCUGUUGAUCUACCUAUGUUACCCUUUUGUAUGUGUCCAGAUAGAGUAGCAUUUUUUUUUCUUGAAAAAAUGGCUAGAGAUUUGGUCAGGAUUCUUAUGAUUCAGAGAAGAGGUUAAAUGGCAUUCUGUACUUAUCUUGUCUCCUGUUUAUCAGGUAAUAUUAAUUUAUGGUAUGGUAUUAACUGGACAUUGGUAAUUGUUAAAAUUUAUCUUAUGUCAUGUGUGUGUUUAUAUGAUGCACACUGAAAUAUUAUUUGGUUUAAAAUAAUGUAGCUUUAUAUUUGAAAAUUGUAUGUUUUAUUAUUAUUUUUCAUCAUUUGUCUAUUUGAGUCAAUAAAAACUGUUAUUUGGUCACAUCCAAUUGUGCAGUCAAGUUCAAAAACAUGUUUACAUGCCAAGAUUCAAAAUGUAUAAACGCACCUCUUAAACAUGGAUAAUAAGAUUGUGUAAAUAUAUUGUUGUAACAUUGGCUUGUAAAAGUGUUUGUGAACUCAACCAUACAAUUAGUAUAAAAGAAAAUCACUAGUUGCUAAGUAACAUAAAAUGUGUAGUAAAGAAAUAAUGCGUUGGAUUAGUGCAAGUUUCAUGCGAGCUUUUGUGAAAGUAUGUUUAUAUUGUCUUAGAAUAAUUUUUAAUUUUAUUUAUUAAUUUUUUUGUGUAAAUAAUUUCGUUAAAAAAAUUGUGUAGCUGGAUCAUGAAUCAGUAUUAAAUUCAUUUUACAUUUACCAGUUUUUAAGAGUAUAGAGGUAUAUUCAUAAAUACGAGAGGCAAUUCAAAACUAUUCAUAUACCAAAACCACACAUUCAGAUUUAUGUACAAAAAGGCGUACGGGAGCCAGCUGUGGUACUGCUGGUACUUCUUUAGCAGAUGUUGUCCAGCAAAGCUCCGGAUAAAUGAUGCGGGAAAGGUGACAGAGAGCAUAGGCCGGCAUAACCAUGACCCCCCAACCUGCUGGAUGACUCCCGAUGGCAAGUCAUACAACUUACCACCGCUGCCCUGCAAGAACAACGACCGAAGAACGCCAUAAGGCUUCUACAGACGUUGCAACAAAUGGUAUGCGAUAUUAAAUGAUUACUGGCUAAGUAGAAGUGCGGCAUCGAGGCUCAGGAAUCUAUUGAAAAUCGCAUGCGAUUAUCGGUAACGUUUGGAGAGGCCUAAAUCUAAUUAAAUCAUGUGAUGAAAACAUUUUUUAUUUGUUUCACUGCCCUGUAAAUAUGAGAACAAAGUUUAUAUUUAAGUAAAUAUAAAUAUGUUGAGAUUCUAUUUGCCCUUAUAUUUUUAUUGUUAUUAUGAAUUGUUUAACAUUUUUAGAUUAAUUAGGCUUUAAGCAUGUCCACAAAUUAUUCAAAGAAUGAGAUAUUUGUUAUUGAUACAUAGAUUAUCUAAAUUGAUAUUUUAUAUGUACAUGUUUUAUUUUAUUUGCCAUAAAAAUGUCUGGUUUGAUUGCCCAGUGAGACUAUUUCUCUAACAAAUGUAAUUUAUAUUUAUGUAAGUUAUUGGUCAACUGGGUUACAUUUGUGGCGUUUUUAAGCAAAAGGUAUCAUUUCUUCUCCUGCUAUUAAUAACUAUUUCUAAUCCUAUGUGAAAGUAGAAAACUGAUACAGUGUUACCUUUUAGCUAACAAAACGAUGUUAAAAUUACCUUCAUGACAAGCAUAUAUUAUUUUAUGAAAAUUAUGACUUACUACCUAAUAUAUACUACCUAAUAUAUACUACCUAAGCUCAAGAGCAAAUAAGGGGCCACUUUGGUUUGAAUUGUUAAUACAAAGUUACCCAUAGUCAUUGCUCGUUGGCAUGAAUAAUUUGAUUAAAUAAAAUAACCUGUUUCUGCUAUGUAUAAUUUAGCUUACCAUCUUUUAAGUUAGAUCCUCACGAUGUUUCGAUAUGUGAGCGCUCGCAGCUCGCACAGCGUCGCGCGGAUUCGCAAUGUAAAGACCGCCUUAUCCUCCCAGGCAAAGCCAUACAAGAAAAAAAAUACAUACGAUGCCAGUGAAAUAUGAACCCAUGGUACAGGACGAAAGGGUUGAUUUUCUUUUGUUUACAAAAUUGAACUAAACAAAACAAAUGCGGCUCUGUUCCUAUUGCCAAAGUUUUCAAUUUCAUCGAACUUCAUAAGUAUUUAGCUACUAUUGUUAGGACCCUGAGCCUUAUGAGGUUAUGUAGGCUGGUGUUAAUUUGCCUGCACUGCAACAAUGGCGUCUGUUCACUAUAACUAGUCCAGUAGCCCUUGCAGAUUCCAAUGACCUAUUAUUUUGUACAAAAAUAGGUAUACAAAGGUGAGCGAUCAAUUAUUGUCAAAAUCGAAAAUAGUGAAGUUAAACGUGUGGUAACGGCACCAAUCAUGAGACAUUUAAGAGUCACACGAAAGCCGCUGCCAUACAUGUCAAAUUUGACAUUAUUUUAGAAUAUAGUUUUAAAAUGAGAACGUAACUUCGAUUGCAUAGCGGCGGGUAGGUUCGUGUGAAUCUUAACCCGUCAUUUCAUGGUUAAUAUGUAGCGCCGCACCGCUUUCGUUUGAUAUAAAUAUUUAGGAAAGAGAUGCAAAUAAAGCCUUUCCAUAACAAAUCAUGCAUUCAUUGAAUUGCGGGCAUAAGGGUACAAAUAUUGACACAUAUCUAAGGACGGGCCAUAAGAAUGGGGCCGGUACAGCGUGCAGCGGUGUCACGCACACGAAUUCGAGCCAAUCGUGCAGUCUAACGCGAUUAGUGAUGAGUUCACAUCACGCGCGCGAUUGGUCGCAACUAAUUACGACAGACUGCACGAUUGGCUCGAAUUCGUGAGUGACACCACUGAACUAGCACCAUUUUUAGUGUCCGUAAAACUCGUCCUUAGAUAUACAAUAGGUAUAAAGUAUUCGAUACAAAUCUUAUGAUUCCAUAAUUGUAGUCCCAUUUAGAUUAUUACAGUUAAAUUAAGGACGCUAAGCAUACUUUUGCCCAUUAUGCCGCAACCACACUGUGUGAGCGGUACAGCAAUAUAUAAAUGCGCGUGCGAUAGAGAUAGAAACAGGCCGGUUAAUGUACUAAAUUUUUCGUGCUUAGCGUCCUUGUUUUAACAUCGUUGUCUGACAGGUCUCAUAUAGAUGCUACAUCAGUAAUGAAGCAGUAUUGUUUAUAUGUAUAAGUCAUUAAACUGGUAGUUUUCUACUUUAUAUAACAUACCUAUGUUUAUAACCAAAGGAGUGCUUUUGUAUCAAGAAAGAGUUAAUGUUCUCCACCUAAACAAAUUGGAAAUGUAAAAAUAAAUUUUCUGUGUAUGCGCGAGUGUUUGUAGCUGCUGCCAAAUUACUUCUAGUUUCUGAUUAAGGGAUAGUUUUUGUACAGUCGCCAUCAGAUAUAUGUGGCUUUCCAUCACAGAAGGGUCCUUAUGCUUCAGGUGCAAUUAGGUCCUUUCUAUUUAAAAUUCCAAUAGAAGUUCUGAUAAAAAGGUCCUUUUUGCACAUGAAUCGUACGGCAAGCAACAUCUGCGCCUGAGGUCAGCAGUUGACCACGACACCGCAAAGAGUACAACGAUAAAGUAGAAGAAUUGCACAUGAAUUAUAAGAACCUUUCGGGCAUCGAACGUCACUUAUUUUAUCGGAGCGUCCAAGGCGCUCACUAAUUCUCUGAACGCGACUCUAUUGCCAAGGCGGUAGUGUGCGCGUUCAGAUAUUUUUGAGCACCUUGGCCGCUCCAAUAAAUCUGAUAGCGACUGUACACGGGCCGAUUUUUUUGCUGCUGGUAAAAUAUGUCUGUUUUGAAGCGGCCCACAUUUGAUUUUACAUCAACUUUUAUAUUAAAACACGCCGACCUAUAAUAUGACAUACACUUUACGAUAGUUCAAAACUGCUAAGGUAGAAAAUCCUUAGAGCAUUUAGACUGGAGACGCCAUAUCUGUAAUUUUCUGUACAAAAUAGUCUGCCGAUUUUUGCGGGGGAGGGGCACGUCAAAUGUAUGGCUAUUUGUACGUUACGUAAAAAAACAGCCACGUCAGAUAUACGUCAGUCUAUACAAAAGUAUGGACAAUUGUGCAAAGUUUUCGGCAGAGGGGUAAGCUCUUAAAGGCGACUCCUGCCUAAAUGCUCUAAGAGAAAAUCAUAGAUAUAAAAACUUUUCAUUAAAAACCAUGUGACAAAUGACAAUGUUUGUCGUUAUCUGCGCAUUUUCGUAAGAUGCAUUAUUUGACAGAUAUAAGUGAUGUUAAAAGUCUAGCAUUUGUUAAGACUCGAGUUCCUCAAAUAUGCAUUAUACAUAUAUUUGUAUAUAUUAAGAGCAAAUGAAUACUAAUUUAAGUUUUAGUUUAUUACAUGCAAUACUGUAUAUAUCCUGUAAAGUUGCUAUAGGUUUAGUUGGAACAGAACUAAGGCUAUGCCUUUCCACUUUGGCGGAGAUGAGAGGAGUGCAGCAAUCAACCAAUAGCAUAAGCUUUAGGUUAUCCAGCGGAGCGGAGAAGACAUGUAGAUUACAAAGCAAUGCCAUUUGGAUUAUUUUCCAUAUUUGCGCCUGCGUCUAAACUCCGUCAAACCAUACUAAAUGUAGGAAAACUUUGAUGGAGUUGAGAAUGACUGUUGGUACCUAAGUACCGCACUUCUCUACCACCGCCUCAGUGGGAAGGCAGCGUGAAGUUUGAAAUACAAUCGUCAUGGAAAUCAACUUGUAUAACGAAACGAAAAUCAUUAUAAUGUACAUUGCGUACAUUAAGUUUACAACUUGUUACUUAAUAGGUAGUUUAUUUUUGAAAUAAUCCAAAAUCUUGCGUAGAUAGUUAACAAAUUUAUAACGUGCCUCUAGUAGGUAGAAUUUAGGAAAAUAAAUAUUGUAUCGUGCCUUCUAAAUUGUUUAUAUGUAUGUAUACCAAAUAUAAAACUAAACUGUGA
Long non-coding RNA from Cydia pomonella (codling moth), 7179 nucleotides. RefSeq lists it as uncharacterized. The record is from RefSeq and is a predicted model, not a curated record. Lineage: Eukaryota; Metazoa; Arthropoda; Insecta; Lepidoptera; Tortricidae. The transcript has 2 exons.